AAAAAUUGUGAAGAAGGUGUUGAAGAUUCAGAAGGCAAAGGAAAAACUAGCUUCAAAGAGCUGAGGGGUAGGGACGCUGAAGUCUCUGUCAAGUCUAUUGUGUUUUCAGAUAACUUAGCUUUGAUGACGAUGAAUAUAUGUGAAAGAACCUGUCGAAAUGCAACUGCGAUUAGAAUUUAAGCUCUAGUAUGGUUUUGUAAACUCCUUUUGGAACUAUUGCCACCUGAUUGGAGGAGGUUUUUCCUCUUUCCAUUUCAAUGAUAUUUUAACGCAUGAUAACUAAGUUUACCUGUGCAUGGCGUUUGCUUAGUGCAUCGGGAUGCCCUUUUUUUAUAACUCAAGUUUUC
Molecule: long non-coding RNA, 347 nt
Filed under: Capsicum annuum
Lineage: Eukaryota; Viridiplantae; Streptophyta; Magnoliopsida; Solanales; Solanaceae
Description: long non-coding RNA (CANN_LNC003818)
Source: RNAcentral